Long non-coding RNA from Neoarius graeffei (lesser salmon catfish), 1304 nucleotides. RefSeq lists it as uncharacterized. The record is from RefSeq and is a predicted model, not a curated record. The transcript is spliced from 3 exons. NCBI's taxonomy places the organism in Eukaryota, Metazoa, Chordata, Actinopteri, Siluriformes, Ariidae.
UAUUGCUGGGUUUCAGUCACAUGACUUUUCUUAGCAGUUUUAUUGGAAGUGAAAUAGCUGGUGGUCUAAACGGCUGCAGUAGUGCAAACAACUAGUGAUAACUUAUCAGAGUAUGCUUGUAAUCUAGAAGCCACUGCUUGCUCUAGAUAUAUUCAGAAGAUUGCUAUGUGCAAUGGAAUCGACCCCUACAGUCUGGGAAAGAAGGAUUUGUCCUAUGAUCUCGAAAACUACCCUUCACUCGAGUUCCCCGACAUCUCGAACUAUCUGGUGUUGCAGACAUCCUUCUACACCACAAAACAGAUGAAAGCGUGGAAGAGUAUGGAGGCUUACAACUUUUUUGUAUGUGGCUCGGUAAAGGACCUCGGUAUCAAGUCACUGCCGAAUGAAUCCUGUAUUGUUUUUGACCGUGUGAGUAUGGAUUUAUUUAUUUAUUUAUUUAAGCUUCUCGUUUGCAUCUUUACAAUGAAGCACUGCAAGUUGAAGUGUAAACAAACAACAGUUUGCUUGAUUCUCACUUGUGUUGGCUCUUAUCUCUCAGGUAAAUCAUUCACAAAGAUCAUCAGAAACCCCUUUAAAGACCUGGAUCUUAGUUAAACAAGAUGGAGAAGUGAUCACGGCGCAUUGUAACUGGAUGGCUGGGUAAGAAUUUUGUUGCGACCUUCAUGCAUAUGGACUCUGUGAGGAGUAAACAAGAAACAGUUGGGGACUUCAGCGCUUCGUGACUAAAGAAAGGAACAAAACACAAAGCAAGAAAAGUACUUGGAAAACACUAAGGACAUAGCUGAGGGGGAUAUACAAAUUUUUCAUGAAGUGAUCAUUGCAAACUUGAGCAUGCUUCGACUCGGCUCCCUUCGAUUUCAGGAACCCUGAAGAAACUCUUAUCAGUCUCACAGUUUGAUCGAUUCGAACAACCUAAAACAACACAAGCGCCCAUCCAUUUGAGGCUUUUGAUGAAGUGGCUGUGACAUCUGUAUAGUGCUGGUGAGGUUUCAUUUUAAACAAUGCAACAAUGCCCACUGCUGCGCCAUUGUCAGAGUGAACAAUCCUCUGUACCAGUCCCUGGGGAGAGCGACUAUGGAAUCAGGAAGCAGACACAAACUCAUUUCCUCCUUGCUGUCUAAUUAAGGACUCCUCCAAAUAGUUAUGUUAAUCUCAGGCAGAUGCACUAGAAACCCAUAUGUUUGUUUCUUUGAUCUAGAUGCAGAAAUAAAGCUGUUAUUUAAAUGGACCUUCUGUAUCAGGAAGUUCAUUUCAGGGGGUUGAUAUUUACCUUAAUAUACAUUUCUGCUUCUGUAUGUACAUUG